This 124-nucleotide ribosomal RNA is filed under the name Methylophaga sulfidovorans. RNAcentral describes it as "23S rRNA. Bacterial LSU". It matches the Rfam family "Bacterial large subunit ribosomal RNA", at positions 2805 to 2925 of the family's 2925-position model. Lineage: Bacteria; Pseudomonadati; Pseudomonadota; Gammaproteobacteria; Thiotrichales; Piscirickettsiaceae. The record is from RNAcentral.
UAAGUUCUCACUGGGAUUUAAUCCCCUAAAGGGCCGUGGAAGACUACCACGUUGAUAGGCUGGGUGUGGAAGUGCAGUAAUGUAUGGAGCUAACCAGUACUAAUUGCCCGUGAGGCUUGACCAU